UUGAGUUCAGCCAGGUAAUCCUAUACCUGCAAAUUAGCCCCCCCCCCCCAAGCUGAAAAUUCUGCAUUCUGAAAUUGAAGCUAAAUAUAGAAGUAUAAUCAUCGUAGGGUUCUAGGAUGCAAAGCUAAGAACACUGAGACGGCAAGUUGCUUGGCUGGAUUCCUUCCCUAGUAUAUUUUAUUCCAAGGGUGCCAUUACGGUACACUAUGUACAAAUUAUCAUACAACUAUCAAUAUAUUAAAUACAUAAUUAACAUUAAUCCAAAAAUGUAAAGCUAUCACAUUUACCUGAAAUAUUUAAACUAAGUAAUAUAAAUCCAAAACAUAAAUCCCAAAUCUGCUGAAAUACACUCCUUAACAGCCAUUUCUUUUUAAAGUCUGGUGUCUUUAGUGCUGCCAGUCUGAUUAAGAGAACAGUUGCAAAUUUAGUGCCCUGUCUAUAAAGAUAUGGAAAGAGGUUCAUCAUGCCUAGUUAUUUGAAAGAGCAGACCUAGCUUAUCUAAUCACUAUCGUUCUGGGUUUCGGUAUUCACUCCUUUAUAAACAACAAUGUUUAGAAAAUUCUUCCAGAGAUGAAAUGAGAGAAAAACAAGAUGGCAGAAUGAAAAGUCAAUAAGACCCACUCAAAAUUCCUCCCUGGGCAAGGACAAAACUUCAGAUUGCCCAACAAUGCUCCUUGCAAGGAGACUGCAAUACAGGUGUGGGAGAUGAGGGAAUAACCACCUUGUUAAACUGGAGUCUUUGGAAGGAUACAGCAUCCCCAUGCUUCCUUUUCUAAUUACUUUCAGAAAUCAGUUGCUAACUGCAUUUCAGCUAUUAUGGUAGGAACAUUUGGAUCAAUAGUACCGUAAAUUCUUAGUGAAAGAAGUUUUAAAUGCAAGUGCAAGAACCUAAAAAAAAAUUCUAGAAUAAAUAGGAAAAGGAUGAGUAAAACUUUGAUUUUA
Molecule: non-coding RNA, 942 nt
Organism: Notechis scutatus (mainland tiger snake)
Lineage: Eukaryota; Metazoa; Chordata; Lepidosauria; Squamata; Elapidae
Source: RefSeq, a predicted model, not a curated record